RNAcentral lists this ribosomal RNA (496 nucleotides) under uncultured bacterium. RNAcentral describes it as "partial 16S ribosomal RNA". It matches the Rfam family "Bacterial small subunit ribosomal RNA", at positions 30 to 523 of the family's 1533-position model. The record is from RNAcentral.
AUUGAACGCUGGCGGAAUGCUUUACACAUGCAAGUCGAACGGUAGAGGGGGCAACCCCUCGAGAGUGGCGAACGGGUGAGUAAUAUAUCGGAACGUGCCCAGUCGUGGGGGAUAACGUAGCGAAAGUUACGCUAAUACCGCAUACGCUCUAAGGAUGAAAGCGGGGGAUCGCAAGACCUCGCGCGAUUGGAGCGGCCGAUAUCAGAUUAGGUAGUUGGUGGGGUAAAGGCUCACAAAGCCAACGAUCUGUAGCUGGUCUGAGAGGACGACCAGCCACACUGGAACUGAGACACGGUCCAGACUCCUACGGGAGGCAGCAGUGGGGAAUUUUGGACAAUGGACGCAAGUCUGAUCCAGCCAUUCCGCGUGCAGGAUGAAGGCCCUCGGGUUGUAAACUGCUUUUGUACGGAACGAAAAGGUCUCUCUUAAUACGGGGGGCUCAUGACGGUACCGUAAGAAUAAGCACCGGCUAACUACGUGCCAGCCGCCGCGGUAA